GACGAACGCUGGCGGCGUGCUUAACACAUGCAAGUCGAACGGAAAGGCCCUGCUUUUGUGGGGUGCUCGAGUGGCGAACGGGUGAGUAACACGUGAGUAACCUGCCCUUGACUUUGGGAUAACUUCAGGAAACUGGGGCUAAUACCGGAUAGGAGCUCCUGCUGCAUGGUGGGGGCUGGAAAGUUUCGGCGGUUGGGGAUGGAUUCGCGGCUUAUCAGCUUGUUGGUGGGGUAGUGGCUUACCAAGGCUUUGACGGGUAGCCGGCCUGAGAGGGUGACCGGCCACAUUGGGACUGAGAUACGGCCCAGACUCCUACGGGAGGCAGCAGUGGGGAAUAUUGCACAAUGGGCGGAAGCCUGAUGCAGCAACGCCGCGUGCGGGAUGACGGCCUUCGGGUUGUAAACCGCUUUCGCCUGUGACGAAGCGUGAGUGACGGUAAUGGGUAAAGAAGCACCGGCUAACUACGUG
Molecule: ribosomal RNA, 468 nt
Filed under: uncultured bacterium
Lineage: Bacteria
Description: partial 16S ribosomal RNA
Rfam family: Bacterial small subunit ribosomal RNA
Source: RNAcentral